RNAcentral lists this long non-coding RNA (557 nucleotides) under Brassica napus (rape). RNAcentral's name for it is "long non-coding RNA (BNAP_LNC001528)". The record is from RNAcentral. Lineage: Eukaryota; Viridiplantae; Streptophyta; Magnoliopsida; Brassicales; Brassicaceae.
UUAAAUAAAAGGAUAAAAAGUAAAUAAAAAAAUGUAAUAGCAAUAAGAAACAAUUUUUUAACAUUUUUAAAGUCGUUCAUAAUAAACCCUAUACCCUAAAUCCUAAACACGAAACCCUAAACCUUUGGAUAAACCUUAAACCCUCGGGUAAAAUAAAAUAAAAAAUAAAAAAUAGUAGCAGCUGUAAAACAAGAAUUUUUUAAUAUUGUAAAAGUCGUUCAUACUAAACCCUAAAACCUAAACUUUAAACCCUAUAUAUUAAACCUUAAACCCUUUGGUAAAGAGAUAUUCCAAGGGUUAUGAGUCUAUCCAUGGAUUUAGGAUUUAUCCAAGGGUUUAGAGUUUAGUAUUUACCUAAGGGUUUAGAGUUUCAUGUUUAGGGUUUAGGGUUUAGUGUUUAGUAUGAACGGUUAAAAAAAUCAUUUUUCAUUGUUAUUAUACUUUUUAUUUAUUUUCUAUACUUUUAUUUUAAAAAAUAAAUUCUAAAUAUUUUGUUUCAUUUUUUAAAAUAAUCUGUAUAUAAAAUAAUCAAUUUUCAUUGGUUGGUGAACCUAUAG